This 366-nucleotide ribosomal RNA is filed under the name Triticum aestivum (bread wheat). RNAcentral describes it as "partial small subunit ribosomal RNA". Lineage: Eukaryota; Viridiplantae; Streptophyta; Magnoliopsida; Poales; Poaceae. The record is from RNAcentral.
AUGUAUUGCCUAUUGAGUAGACCCUAUGCAUUUGGUUGUGUUCUCAAGAUGAGAACAUCGCAAGGUUUUGAUCCUGGCCACUCUUAUGGCCAUUUCUUCCUUGAUCCUCAAUAUGAAAAUGUGCAACAUAUUAACUGCUGUGAGUCAAUUCAGAUUAUCAUAGAUGUUACACAAAAAUACAUGAGUUCAUGGGGGAGCACGUCAACAAGGCUGCUGCAUGAGUUCAUGUCGUCGGCAGUGGCUCGCUCGUCAACAAGGCUGAUGAAAUCAGGGGGAGCACGAGCGGGUGCCAAAGGUGUCCGAUCGAACUCAGUUGGAGGUCAAACAGGUUCAUCUCUCGGGCAUGCCACCAAUAACGCUCGAUGA